Molecule: non-coding RNA, 9877 nt
Organism: Rattus norvegicus (Norway rat)
Lineage: Eukaryota; Metazoa; Chordata; Mammalia; Rodentia; Muridae
Source: RefSeq, a predicted model, not a curated record
AAGGAAGGAAGGAAGGAGAUGUUUCAGUGGUUAAGAGCACUGACUGCUCUGCUCUUCUAGAGGUCCUGAGUUCAAUUCCCAGCAACCACAUGGUGGCUCACAACCAUCUAUAGUGGGAUCUGAUGCCCUCUUCUGGAUUACAGACACCAGCAAAUACAUCAGCACGGUGGCGCACACCUAUAAUACCCACGCUCAAAGGCAGAGGAAGGAAGAUUGCCAAGUUCCAGGCCUGUCCACAUAAUAUAGCAAGACCUUGUCUCAAAAGAAGGAGGAGGAAGAAGAGGAGGAAGAGAAAUAGGAAGAGAAGGAGAAAGAGGAGGACAGGCCCAGAUUAGCACCUCAUCCUCUGCAGUCCUCUUGCUUUUAGCCACGAGCCUGUAUGGAUGGGAGUGAAACAAGUCUCAUAUGGAUGCUGCUGUUUUCACAGGAAGCUGAGAAGCCUGACCUCACUGUCAUCUUCUUGUUGGUGUCCGGUGGGUAAACAGCAGAGGCUUCUAAAGAAGACAUUUUUUUUUCAGUGUGGCCUGAGGACCACCAGCAUCAAAAUCACUUGGGGGAGUGGGUUAAAAACGCAGCCUCUUGAAGAGCUUCCCAGCUCCACUUGAUUAAAGAUAGGGGCUCAAAUGUAAAAUAACCUACCUUUUUUUUUUUUUGGUUCUUUUUUUUCGGAGCUGGGGACCGAACCCAGGGCCUUGCGCUUCCUAGGUAAGCACUCUACCACUGAGCUAAAUCCCCAGCCCCUAAUAACCUACCUUUUAAUGGUCUAUUUUUCCCUCCAGCACUGGGUUAAACUAGGUCCAGCAGCAUGAUAGGCAAGUGUUUAACAUGGCCAUGCCUUAAGUUACCUGAGAGAUACUAGGGAUCACACGUAGGGCCUUAUCCAUUCUAGGUAAGCACUCUGCUACUGGAGUUAGAUCCCUAGCUCCCUCGUGACUCUUGUAUAUUGAGAUGUUUUCCUCAUUUUGUUAUUAUUGUUUUGUUGAUAUUGGAUCUCGUAUAGCCCAGGUUGGCCUCAAACUUGGCAUGUAGAUGAGGAUGACCCGGAACUUCUGAUUCUCAUGUCUCUACCUCCCGUGUUCUGGGAUUAGAGGCAUACUGUGUACUGUGCUGCUUUGUGCUAUGCUGGGGAUCAAGCCCAGGACUUCAAACUGGCCGUCAAGCACUGUCUCAGUCCACAGUCUCACAUCCACAGCCUCUGCACAGAUGCUUUAGCUCUGAAAAGCAAACCCUCCCCCUGAAAGUUACCCUGUGGCUCCCUGAUAACCUGACCAGAAGCCUGCCUAACAAGGCUUGGUUUCAGCAAUCUUGCGUCCUCUCAUUUUCUCCAGCAAAGCCAAGGUAGAGAAGGCUGAAGCAGGCUCUAGUGCUCUCUGAAAAUCUGUCUUGGCUCUGCCCCAAGUGUCUGUGUUUACUCUGCAGCCCAGGGUCCUUAUCCCUUGGCAGUGCUUCAUUGUAAGGUCAUUAGCUCUUAAUUAGUGCCAGCUUGUUGGCUUGCGCCUCACAGCUGAGCUGCCACAGAGACUCCUCACUCAUUCUCUUUGGGUCUCGCUCUCUGACGGCAGAAUCCCAGCUGCCGGGGUGAGUUGCAACCCGAGAAGAGAUGGGUGCCUCAGGUGUAGAAUCCCAGAAUUCAGAAGGCUGAAGCAGGAAGAUUGCUCUGAAUUCAUAGCCAGCCAGAAGAUAGGGACCUUACCUUCAAGCAAGCAAAGGAAUAAAGAGAGAACUGGAGAGAGUAAGUACUGAGUGUCUGCUCAGCGUGGGCUAAGCCCCAGGGUCCAUCCCCAAGCCCAGAAAACCCAACAAGGUGCUGGUUGCCUGCAAUCUCACAUUCAGGAGGCAGAGACAGGAGAGGCAAAAGUUCAAGGUCAUUCUUAGCUACAAGUCCAGCUGGAGGCCAGGCUGGCAAAUAUAAGAGCUGAAUCUAGAGUGACUGCCACCGGAUGUGAAACCGUACAAGUGCCAAAGCCGGAAGUGCUAAACAGAAAAGGAGUCCUCAUACGGCCUCACCCGGCUGCUGCAUGUAUGUAUCCUGUGCGUGCAAUGCCCAUGGAGAACAGAAGAGAGCAUCAGGCUCCCUGGUACUGUGGUUACAGAUGGUUGUGAACUGCCUGAUGUGGCUGCUGGGAGCCAAUCCUGUCUUCUGCAAGAGCGCCAAGUGCUCCUAACCGACUGCCAUCUCUCCAGCCCCACGCCUCCAUUUUCAAUUUAGAACGUCCAGGAGGAUUUUUAGAUAAGGAUGCCACGAGCCGGUGGAGAAACUUCUCUCUUGGCAUUGCUCAAAUGUCAGGGGUAAGAAGGUCUUCAAGAGACACCCAGAGGCCCCAUCCACUACCGCUGUCCUGCUGCCAAGGGUCAUGUCUGGGUCUGUGGCUCUACUGCAGCAGGGGUUUGCGUCGAUUCAGUGGUCAGUGCUACCAUCAAAGGUCAAGCAGAUAGUAGUGGUCUGGGCUGCCACCUGUGUCCUAGAGCAGCGUUGAGCGGGUCCCUAAUCCAGGCAACUAGGGAGGGCUAGAGCUAGCCCCUGGUGUCAUUGGGUGUACAGAGCUGGCAGGUUGAUCAACUCAGCCAAAACCCAGGCCCAGGUCUAAGGCUUUGAGCUGGCCCACCCCAUCUAAUCCCGCCUAUGAGUUGUUGGAGCAUUUGAAGGGAAUGGCCCUGCAGAACCAAAGCUGCAAGAUCUCCAUGACUCAGGGUGACUGCAGGAUACCCAAGAGGAAUUCCGGUGAGGUUCCGGUCUUGAUAGUGCAGCAGAAGCCAGGGGCCUCGAACCAGACCAAUGACUCAUUGAAAUGAACAUUUACAAGUAAAGAUGUUUGGGCGAAAGGGUUUACUGUGUGGCACACGGAAGCUUCUGUGGUGAGAUGGUUUGUUCUUAUUCUUUAAUUUUUCAUGUUGGGGGAGGAGGUUAUAAGAGUGGGGGAGGCAGAUAUGGAAGGACUGGGAAAUGAGUGGGAUUUGGGGGUACAUGAUGUGAAAUUCACAAAGAAUUAAUAAAAAAAAAAGUAGGAAACAAGUCUUCAAAAAGGUCCCUAUAUUAAGCUUUGGAAUAAUAACCAGAGAUCUUUUGCUCCUUCCUAUAGCUGGGUCCCCAUUGUUCCCAGCUGCUUACAAACAACCUGGGGAACACCCUUCUGAGAUACUGUUAAUACACUUUCAUCGUUGGCCUGGUUUAGGUAACUCCAAGACACUGGCUGCAUCCUCAGAAAUACAUCCAGGACGCUCACUGAUGUGGGAACUGGAAGUCUAAUUCCAAAUUAUAGAUAGCUGUUAAGCUCCAAGGAGGCUGAAAGCCCAUAUUAAGUCAUCUCUCCAGGGUCAGUGUGUUUCUUAUUAUAUUUGAUAUCUAUCUGUCCAGUGAUCCUUUUGAUUUUUUUAAGCCGUUAGACUGAAUCUCUGUGUAAUUCUCCCCCUCCUCUGCCUGCCUCCCCCCUUUUCCUUAGGAAAACACUUUUUUUUUCUUUUUUUUUUCCUUUUCUUUUUUUCGGAGCUGGGGACCGAACCCAGGGCCUUGCGCUUGCUAGGCAAGCGCUCUACCACUGAGCUAAAUCCCCAACCCCAGGAAAACACUUUUUAAAACAGUGCUCACCAGGUCCCCUGGCUUGUUUCCAGAAGAAUCCUGUCACACAGACAGACAAGUCUGAGGAAUCAACCUUUAAAACCAUUGUGCCCCUGAGGAAACCUAUCAGAUGGCCAGCCUUACCCUUAGGCAGCUUCUCGCCAAGAAGAUACUGAGGUUUUCUAUGACCUCUCUCCAUCCUUCUUGCUCUCAUGUCUGGUCUGGUCUAGAUUGGGGGCAAAACCUUAAAUGCAAAGCAGAAAUGGCCGUGAAUGUGUAGGAGAAAAGUUAAGGUGAACACCUUCUCAAGCAGACAAUGAAAAGGUGGCCCAGUCCUUAUUUGCACAAGAUUUCAUGUAUUUCCAUCAAUAUGUGUGGUGUGGGAUGGGGUGGGAUGCUUGCCUACAUAAGGGUGGGGCACCUGUGUACACCUGCGCACAAGCCUCCGAUUGACAUUAAGAGUCUUCCUUGAUUAUUUCCUGUCAGGUCUCAGGAACCCAGGGCAGAUGGCUAGUUGAGGUGCCCAUUAACACCUCGAAGUGCAUGCUGGCCAGCUCUCCCAGCAUUACUCAGUACCUAUGACUCCUCUCAACACUUAGCCUCCCUCUUCCAGGGGCUGCGUUUCCAUUUCCCUGCCUGGAGCCUGAUUCCUGUAUAACUCAGCAAUUUUGGCUACACCAGUCUCUGGCUUCUUGGCCUGGGUCUCCCUCCCCCUCCCUCCUCUCACGGUCUGGUUUGGUCUGCCAGCAUCUACAAUAAGAAUUUUCGGGGUUGGGGAUUUAGCUCAGUGGUAGAGGGCUUGCCUAGGAAGCGCAAGGCCCUGGGUUCGGUCCCCAGCUCUGAAAAAAAGAAAAGAAAAAAAAAAUAAGAAUUUUCUCCACACUUUAGGAAUAGGCAUGUCCUCCUCCCAUACAUUCUGUUUCCUGCAUUAUCUACCUUGCAUAUUAAGCCAGGGUCUCUCAGGGGAAUCCCAGAGCUUACCAAAAUGAUGCAGCUAGCCAGCUUGUUCAAGAGAUCUCAUCUCCACCUGCUGAGUGCUGGAAUUACUAAAGGCUACCAUGUCUGCCUGGCUUUUAAUUGGGUGCUGGGGGGUCUAAACUCUGCGGCCCUCGCUAUUGCAACAAAGGCUUGAUAUCUCUUGAGUCAUUUCCUUCCCCAGCCCUUGUGUAAAUUUUUUUGUAAAGAUUUAUUUAUUUUAUGUAUAUGAGAACACUGUCUUCAGCCACACCAGAAGAGGGCAUUGGAUCCCAUUAUAGAUGGUUGUGAGUCACCAUGUGGUUGCUGGGGAUUAAACUCAGGACCUCUGGAAGAGCAGUCAGUGCUCUUAACCGCUGAGCCAUCUCUCCAGCCCUGUAAAUUUGUUUUGUUUUGUUUUGUUUUAAAGACAGGGUUACACUGUGUAGCUCUGGCUGUUUUAGAACUCCUAUGUAGAACAGGAUGGCCUUGAACUCAUGGAGAUCCAGCUGCAUCUGCCUCCCAAGCGUUGGAUUUAAAGGCUGCUCUAUCACACCCAGCCUUUGUAUAACCUUUAAGAAUCCUGAUUAAAAUAUGAUCAGUCCUUCAUCUUUGGAAAAAAAACUCUCCUCCUAACACAUCCUACAAAUGAGAAUAGAGGAACUUUCUAGUUACUUUUAAUAAAUGUGAAGGGUUGAGAGUUGUCUGUGACCCUAGGGUGCCUCUCCACUCUGUCCAGGACCUGGUAGUUGGAUUUCUACCAAGAUUCUCCCCUCCCACAUCAUCAGUGUUCAUUAAAAAAAAGAAGAAGAACCAAAUCAUUUAGCUUAUUCCCCAGCACAGGGGUAGGCAGACUUACAACCCACUGGCCAAAUCCCACCCACUGCCUAUUUUUAUAUGGCCCUAAAGCUAAGAAUGGAUUUUAGUUUCUUAAAUGGUUGAAAAAGUCAAAAUAAAAAUAACGUUUUAUGACGCAUGAAAGUGAUAUGAAAUUCAAAUUUCAGGGUUCAUAAAUAAGGUUUUACUGGAACACAGCCACGCCAUUUGUUUACAUAUGGCCUUUGGCUGCUUUGGCACUACAAGGAAGAGAUGAAUUGCGGCAACAGACAACAUAUGGUCCACAGAACCUAAAAAUAUUUUUACUCCCUGGCCCUUUACAGGAUGCCUUGCCCACAUCCCCAUCCAAGGACACUGGUGUGCAUUCUCCGAGUUGACUAGGCGUGCCACGGACAGAUGAUGCAGACGCUAUUGUUCUUUGAGAGUGGUCCCCAUUCCAAGAUGGAAUACCUCCUGAGCCCCCAUCCCCCCCAUCCCCAACCCCCCAUCCCCUCUCCAUUCCCGCAGGCUCUGGAAAUUCAAACCAGGCCCCCCCUGUACAUCUGAGUGUAGCUGAUGCUUUCGUGGGCCAGCAGAGGGCUCUUUGAAGAGGUUUACAUUUCAUAGGGAGAGGCAGAGAGGCUGUCUAGAGGCCAAAUAGGGUCUAUUUGAGCCUAUUUGAUGUAUGGGAGCUCUCCCCAUUCCCCAACAAGUCCCGGGAUUUUUCCCCCUUCUGAUCUCAGAAAAGAAGAAGAGGACUUCAAGAAGCAACUCAGGGGUUGGGGAUUUAGCUCAGUGGUAGAGCGCUUGCCUAGGAAGCACAAGGCCCUGGGUUUGGUCCCCAGUUCCGAAAAAAAGAACCAAAAAAAAAAAAAAAAAAAGCAACUCAGAAAGUCUGUUUACCUGGAUUCUCCAUGACUUACUUUGGUGACCUUAGUCAGAGCAUGGGAGGAAAGAAUUUUUUUUGUUUUUGUUUUUUCCAUCCUGGUCCUGGCACACUGGGGUCUUCAGGCCAUGACAGCCACUGGGAGAGAAACUGCCAGCUACAGCUGUGGUGAGCCCCUCCUGAGCAGUCAUGAGCCAUGGAUCCAGAUGGACUUGGUGGAGAGGUGGAGGCUGAUAGAAGGCUCUGUGAACUGCAGGCAUUGUUUAUGAGGACAUGUGAUCCAACCUAUGAAAGCCUCUUCCUGCAAGUGAGGAAGACUCUGAACAAGUAGGAGACCGACAUGCAAAGGGGAGACAGGCUUUGCAAAUGAGUCACAUUAUCUCCAGCCAAGCAAUAGCAGAGCCAAGCUAAGCCCCAUCCUAACUUCCCUACUUAUUACUGUGUUCUUUGGUUACCUCAUUUCUACCCCCUGGCCCCGUGCCUCAGUUUCCUCAUCUAUAAAACAGGCAUGACAAUGGUGGUCUAGCUCACAAGGCUGAGCUGAGGGUCAAGGGAAGCAUUGCAAGGCCAAGGUUGAACAGGUGUGGGCAUCGUAUAACUGUUAGCUGUACUUAAGUUUCCAGUUGCAUCAACAUCCUUAGGAGACCUGGGCAGGGAAGACAAGCAGUGAACACCUCAAGCACUUCUUCCUUUUCUUUCUUUCUUUUUCUCUCUUUCUUUUUUCCUUCCUUUCUUCCUUUUUUCCUUCUCUCCUUCAUGACUAACAAUACUUUUAUUUUCUAACAAUUUUUCUACUGCUUCAGUACUUUCCUCUCAGACAAGACAAAUUUUAGAACGGGACUUUGUGGCCCUUUCUCUUCUUGUUUCUUCCCAACUUAAAAUGCUCACAUUUCCUAAGGGCCAGCGACCUCUCAGCUCUGCAGUCAGCCUGAGCAUCCUCAUCUCUGUGGUUUUGGCCUUCUGUUAGAAAACUGGUCCUGUUUGACCACGAUAGCCACGCUGCAUCUGAUGUCCUUCUUACGACCAGGUCACACUCUGAGGCUGACGCCUGCCCCAUUUCUGACAUAAAGUCCUUUGGGUUUUAGGUACAUUGACCAUCUUUAUGGUGGAGGUGUACACAUCCAUGAAAAAUGAGAUCGGGUGUCCGAGAUUGCUACCUCAAGCUGAUCCCACCGAACGGAAGGGGCUCAAGCACUGAUAUCAGGAGGGGACGUUCAACUAGAAAGUGUGACCACAGAUAAGUUGAAAAUGGAUGGACAAUCCACAGCAAUGCAGAGGAGGCUACUGCUGAGGGAAGGGAAAAAACUGUACUGGGCACCAGUGAAUAAUGAGAAGAGAAGAUGGGGCAGGAGAUGAGAGCAGCAGGCCAUACCCCUGGAGAGUUGGGGUGUAGUACUCCGGCCUUGUCAGAACUAGUACUGGCCAAACACAGGGGGAUGGAAAGUCAGGUUGCUUUGGGCCCAGUAUUCCAAUGAUCUUUAGUACUCAGCCCACCUUUCUCCCCCGCUUUACUCCUAGAAGGAAAGAGGAGUCAGAAGCACCAACAAUUAUCAUCUCCAGUGACAGGGAAGCAUGCUGGCAGGAGGCCCACCCGGCUCCUUGAAGAAGACAGCCAGGGUAGGGCCAAGACUGGAAGCCAGAGGCGAUGGAACCGCCAAAUGCUUCCCGUUUUAUGGACAGGCCUGGCUCAACCUGAAGACAUUCCAAACACCCAGUCAACAGUCAUGGUCUAUAUGAGAUUGGAGAGGGAGCCACUAGAAACCAAUCCUUUGAGAACAGGAAACUCAGCUGGAGGAAGAAGCUGGCCUUGUUCAUGGACCAGAUUCAACGGAUGAGGAAAAGGAACCUCAUCAUCAAUAAUCAAUAAUCAAAGGCUGGCAGCUUGCUGGGAGCUGGCCCCUGCCCUCUUCCCCACACAGGAGUGGGUCCAGCCAGGAACCCAUCUCACCCACCUCUCUGCACCAAGCCCCAGGGAGGGCAGGCGAGGGAGGAACCAUUUUUCACAUACUUUCUCUUUCAGAACGCAGCCCUUGUUUCGCAAUUUCCUACUUAAGUUCUGGAAGGCUGUAGGGCAUGUAUCCAAGCUACCUUCUCCAGCUGUGGGCCAGAGUCCCCCUAUGGUCAAGCACCAACCUGGUAGGCAAUGCCUGCUGGACGUAGGUAGGAGCUCACGAUGCUAAUUCUCCUGCAUCCCACCAAUGAAAACUCAUUCCAGACAGAGCAGGUUACCAACUCCACAAUGAGGGGCUCUACCACACCCCUGGCAGGUGUCUAUUCUUCCCGCUGUUAGUUCUUUCUCUGGAAGAGCCGGGAGGUAGGCCACAGCAAAGCAGGUGCAUCUCAGCAUCCCCCAAAGGCGAUCAGUCUUCAGAUCACCUCCUCCUGGGCUGGAGAGAUGGCUCAGCGGUUAAGAGCACUGACUGCUCUUCUAGAGGUCCUGAGUUCAAUUCCCAGCAACCACAUGGGGGCUCAAAACCAUCUGUAAAGGGAUCUGAUGCCCUCUUCUGGUGUGUCUGACAGCUACAGUGUACUGAUGCAUAAAAUAAAUGAAUAAAUCUGUAAAAAAAAAGUUAAAAAAAGAAAUAAACAGAUCACCUCCUCCUUAGAAUAAGGCUUUUGUUCUUGUCACUUCCACCUACAACAGAUCAAGCCCCUGCCAUUUCCAAUGAAUCCAUUUAGUCUUGCCAGACAGAACCUGUUGUAGAAGCCUGUUUCCCCAUUCCUUACUACCAUGGAGGUUUCCACUGCGCGUGAGACCCAUAGCUGGAGGGUUCUGAGGCAAAAAGCCAACACCUGGGGGCCUGGCCCUUGGUUAGGGAUGUGGAGCAGGGCCUUAGUGCUGGCCCUAGCUCUGAAUUCUCUCCCAGUCCUCUUAAACCAAACCAAACAAGCCAGAUGAGAGGGGGAAAUCCCCACUUGAAAAAUCCAGAAAAUGCGUAACCUCAUCACCCCAAACAAUGGGGCGGGAAAUAUACCAGAGCUGGAGGUGGGAAAGACGGCCAGAAAUGUAAGUGCGUGACCCCAUAGAGGAGAGCUAACAUUUUCCAAGCUAUGCAGGCAAAUAAAGACAUAGAAUGUUUUCGCCAUUUAACCCUGGAGCAGAGAGAAGCAUCUCGACAUGGAUAUAUGGCCUCCCCCAGCACUUGCUCACCCUCCAAAGCACCAGGUACCUCCUCAGGACCACCCGUGGUUGUAGGCCUCUCUAGGAUUCCAGCCUCAAGUAGGCGUUUUAGCACUGUGAGCCAUUAACCGCUCCUCACUUUUAAACCCACAUCAUCACCCAGCUCAGAAACAGACAAGAAUAAGCCCCAGGGCUCAUUGUAUUCACAAUGUGUGAGGGUGGCAUUUGGACGUUCACAGAGAAUGAGAACAGCUCCUGAGUGGUCAUCCUGCAGAUGUGGAAGCAUCUAAAUACUCAGGACUUCCUGGGGUCACGGACACCCUCCCUGAGUUGCUCAGAUCCCAGGGGUGGCUUCUAGAAGUGAAGGAGUAAGGAGAAGCUGAACCCAGAACAUCAACAGGGUGAUCCCGGUGCUCGGGAGAUCCUGGCGCUCUUAUUCUGGGUCUUGCUUGGGUGUGGUUUUAAAAGAGAGCUUAUGUCAGUAUGGUAUAUGUGCCUGAAUUCCCCAGGGUCAUCUUGUUAUAAGGCGGAUUUGAAUUCUUUA